GACGAACGCUGGCGGCGUGCUUAACACAUGCAAGUCGAACGAAAAGAGGGAAAGAGCUUGCUCUUUCCGGAAUUGAGUGGCAAACGGGUGAGUAACACGUAAACAACCUGCCUUCAGGAUGGGGACAACAGACGGAAACGACUGCUAAUACCGAAUAAGUUCCAAGGGCCGCAUGGCCCAUGGAAGAAAAGGUGGCCUCUACCUGUAAGCUAUCGCCUGAAGAGGGGUUUGCGUCUGAUUAGCUGGUUGGAGGGGUAACGGCCCACCAAGGCGACGAUCAGUAGCCGGUCUGAGAGGAUGAACGGCCACACUGGAAUUGAGACACGGUCCAGACUCCUACGGGAGGCAGCAGUGGGGAAUCUUCCGCAAUGGGCGAAAGCCUGACGGAGCAACGCCGCGUGAGUGAUGACGGCCUUCGGGUUGUAAAACUCUGCGAUCCGGGACGAAAAGGCAGAGUGCGAAGAACAAACUGCAUUGACGGUACCGGAAAAGCAAGCCACGGCUAACUACGUG
This 513-nucleotide ribosomal RNA is filed under the name uncultured bacterium. RNAcentral's name for it is "partial 16S ribosomal RNA". It matches the Rfam family "Bacterial small subunit ribosomal RNA", at positions 28 to 507 of the family's 1533-position model. The record is from RNAcentral.